This is a non-coding RNA of Paramuricea clavata, 461 nucleotides long. NCBI's taxonomy places the organism in Eukaryota, Metazoa, Cnidaria, Anthozoa, Malacalcyonacea, Plexauridae. The record is from the annotation of a GenBank genome assembly.
GGAAAACUUGGUGCAUGAAUACCUGGAGCACUUGCAGAAUAUGCAAAGGAUAAAGGGAAAUAAAACAGAACAAGAGGCAAACGGAAAAACCCCAGAACAAGACAGAAGACAUAUGACUACUGUAUGAAUGGGGGAAACAAGUAGAACCUAAAGAAAUCGGUAAGCUACUAUAUGUGGCAGAACUUGAUAAGUAUCUCAAUUAUCACAAGUUGAACAGGAAAGGAAAGAAGCCGGAUAAGGUAUUCAAAACCAUAGCGUUAAAUAUCAAUACUGUCCAUUGCAACUCGAUGCAAUUUAGCCACUUCCUCUCUGUGUAAGUUAUUAUGAUUUAUGUAUGAAGAGGAACAGGAGUAUUCAGAGCGUGGAAAUACCAUGUACUGUAGACAGUGAUGACGACGAGAGUGAAUUAGAGGAACUGGAUACUGUGGAGAGUGUGCGUGAAACUGAAAUGUCUGAUAACA